CAUAGAGAGCUUGCUCUCUGAUGGCGAGUGGCGAACGGGUGAGUAAUAUAUCGGAACGUACCUAGUAAUGGGGAACAACCAGCCGAAAGGUUGGCUAAUACCGCAUACGACCUACGGGUGAAAGCAGGGGAUCUUCGGACCUUGCGUUAUUAGAGCGGCCGAUAUCUGAUUAGGUAGUUGGUGGGGUAAAGGCCUACCAAGCCGACGAUCAGUAGCUGGUCUGAGAGGACGAUCAGCCACACUGGAACUGAGACACGGUCCAGACUCC
This 268-nucleotide ribosomal RNA is filed under the name unidentified marine bacterioplankton. RNAcentral describes it as "partial 16S ribosomal RNA". It matches the Rfam family "Bacterial small subunit ribosomal RNA", at positions 70 to 339 of the family's 1533-position model. RNAcentral also lists the same sequence under 1 other name. The record is from RNAcentral.